This 497-nucleotide ribosomal RNA is filed under the name uncultured bacterium. RNAcentral's name for it is "partial 16S ribosomal RNA". It matches the Rfam family "Bacterial small subunit ribosomal RNA", at positions 28 to 507 of the family's 1533-position model. The record is from RNAcentral.
GAUGAACGCUGGCGGCGUGCCUAAUACAUGCAAGUCGAGCGAACGGACGAGAAGCUUGCUUCUCUGAUGUUAGCGGCGGACGGGUGAGUAACACGUGGAUAACCUACCUAUAAGACUGGGAUAACUUCGGGAAACCGGAGCUAAUACCGGAUAAUAUUUUGAACCGCAUGGUUCAAAAGUGAAAGACGGUCUUGCUGUCACUUAUAGAUGGAUCCGCGCUGCAUUAGCUAGUUGGUAAGGUAACGGCUUACCAAGGCAACGAUGCAUAGCCGACCUGAGAGGGUGAUAGGCCACACUGGAACUGAGACACGGUCCAGACUCCUACGGGAGGCAGCAGUAGGGAAUCUUCCGCAAUGGGCGAAAGCCUGAAGGAGCAACGCAGCGUGAGUGAUGAAGGUCUUCGGAUCGUAAAACUCUGUUAUUAGGGAAGAACAUAUGUGUAAGUAACUGUGCACAUCUUGACGGUACCUAAUCAGAAAGCCACGGCUAACUACGUG